This is a non-coding RNA of Branchiostoma floridae (Florida lancelet), 114 nucleotides long. Lineage: Eukaryota; Metazoa; Chordata; Leptocardii; Amphioxiformes; Branchiostomatidae. The record is from Rfam.
GUAGGCUACGGUGACGUGUACCCAAGAAGCCUUGGUGGGAAGUUAGGAGGGCUGAUGUGUGUCCUGUGUGGCUUUAUUGUACUCGCCAUACCUUCACCCGCCAUUGUCGCCAAC